Molecule: long non-coding RNA, 1847 nt
Organism: Symphalangus syndactylus (siamang)
Lineage: Eukaryota; Metazoa; Chordata; Mammalia; Primates; Hylobatidae
Source: RefSeq, a predicted model, not a curated record
CACACUUCAGCCAAUCAGCAGGCAGGAAACAGCAAUUGACCUAAAGAAGCAGAUGGCGAUAUGGAGGAAGGAAGUGACUCCAGCCAGGUCUGGGUUCUAUGAGAAAGAGGAUGUGGGAAUUGAUAUUGCCUAGGCAACCAGUAGCAUCUACUACAGUCCUUUUUGCAAAUGUCCACCCUCCACCCCAACAUUGUUAUCAAGAAUGGCUGUGGCUCAUUCUAGGUCUGUGAAGAGGUCACUUCUCUAGGGGCGGAUGGGAUGGGUCUGCCAACAAAAUCAAAACACCCUCCCAACUCAGACUUAGUAACUUCUAAGAUGAGGAAACAGGUUCAGAGAGAUGAAGACUCUUGCCCAGGGCACCUGGAUGCUAAGCGGUGGAGUUGGGACCCGAACCCAGGCAUUCCAUCCUCAGAACCCAUGCUGGAGAGAAAGUACUCUGGUCCCUGGGCAGUGAGAAGUAACGAGGCCAGACCACUUCUGCAGUGAAGGCCCUGGCUGUUGCCUGUCACUUUCAUGGAGCUCCCAAGCCUGUCAGCAUUCACUGAGAGCGCCAUACCCCUAACUUUAUUCCAACAAGGACUGCUUAUUGUGCGCAUGUAUGUGUAUUUAAUAAUGAUAAGGGACUUGUAUGUCAUAUUUGACAGGAGGGCUUUUUUUCUUCCCAAGUUUAAAGCACUACUGGGAAAGAAUUAGUGCUACUGGAGGCAAAAACAAAGGGACCCCAUCAGAAAAGACAGUCUCUGAAACUCUGGGAUCUUAAUUGAACAAUUACCUCUUAUGCCUAUGAAUGGUUCAUUAUUACAUGCCCUGUUAUUAUUAGCUGUUAUUAUUGUUUUAGAUGAAUGCUGGGAAUUUUGUUUUAAUCAAAAGCCGUAUUCAGCCACACCGUUCAUCUCCCCGCAAAAUGCAUGCUUCUGACAUUUCCGAAUGUGAUAAUGUCGUAGUCGGCAGUCGGUCCCCGCACCUCGCCCAGAUAACGGUGUACUCGGAUCAUUUCAGUUGUCUGGAUGGAACGGUUAAAUACUCCAGGCCUCUGUUCAUGCUGUUAUUAAUUUUUGGCUCCCUGGUGAAAGCAUUUAUAUAAGAAUAUAGCACCUCCUAUCUUUUAUUCUUUAGGAAUCCAGUGUCACUGAGGACAAUGAAGUGAUCUUUGUUCAUCCCAAGCUUUUGAGAUAGAAAUAAGAGGGAGGGUAGUGAUGGAGCCAGAGGUCAGGAUGGGAGAGGCACUGAGGGGUGGAGACCCAAGCCCCAGGAUUGAGGGGUGGAAGGGCUGGCUCAGGAGAGGCCAGGCUGGGAGUCUUGUGUUCUUAGAGGGAAUCAGAGGAAGGGGGAAGCAAUAUGGAUAAGGCACUGCCAUGUGUUAGAUGCCUUGCUGUGUUUGGCAUUCAUAAUCUCAGGAACUGUGUGCGGGAGCUCAUGAACCAGUGUUUGUGUCAUCCUAGAAAUCAUGCCCCCUCUUCCUUACAACACCCGAGCCAAUCACCAUGACUUUCCUUCCCUUACUAGGUAAGAGUAUGGGAAUAGCCACGUGACCCAGUUUUGCCCCAAGAGACAAGCGGGGAGGUCUGCUGGGGGAGGGGGAAUUCUGGGAAAAGUUUCUGGGAAAGUAACAGAAGUCUAGGAAAAGACUAUCCUCUCUGUUGCUGGUCACUAUUGCAUCUGGAUGUGAUGCCUGGAACUGCAGCAGCCACUUUGUGACCCUGAGGGGCCUUGACAGAACAGAAAGAUGAAAAGGACAUUGGUCCCUGAUGACACCAUUGAGCUGCUGCUUUAACCAACUGUGGGGCCACCCUGCCUUAAGGCUUCUUAUGAUUAUUCCAGAUAAUAAAUGUUCUUUCUCAUUUAAA